Molecule: ribosomal RNA, 253 nt
Filed under: uncultured bacterium
Lineage: Bacteria
Description: partial 16S ribosomal RNA
Rfam family: Bacterial small subunit ribosomal RNA
Source: RNAcentral
UACGAAGGGGGCUAGCGUUGUUCGGAAUUACUGGGCGUAAAGCGCACGUAGGCGGAUAUUUAAGUCAGGGGUGAAAUCCCAGAGCUCAACUCUGGAACUGCCCUUGAUACUGGCGAUCUCGAGUUCGGGAGAGGUGAGUGGAACUGCGAGUGUAGAGGUGAAAUUCGUAGAUAUUCGCAAGAACACCAGUGGCGAAGGCGGCUCACUGGCCCGAUACUGACGCUGAGGUGCGAAAGCGUGGGGAGCAAACAGG